UAGAAUUACGUCAAAUUCAAGUAUUUUCAAUGAAAUAAGAUCGACAGGUAAUGUGAGGGUACCGAUUUGAACCAAACAAGACUUAUAAAUAGUGGAUGUAAUGAAGGUUUCUCCUAACGGAGUUUCAACAGAUAAGUCAAUGUCUAAUUUCUCCGGAGUCAAAUUUAAACGUUGAGCGCAAGUAGGAGUGAUGAGUAUGAAAUAUGUUAUAUUUUUAUUCCUUAAUACUUAAUCUUUUAUAUUUAUUUUGUGCUUAAAUAUACUCAUUAUUCUUAUAUUUUUAUUUUAGGUACAAUUGAUGGACACUAUAAUUUUGAAUAUAAUUUGGAGGCAAAUUGAUCAUUAUCGGAAGAAGGGAGAACAAUUCCAGUAUUAUUGGGUUGACCCAAUUAGGCCAUGUAAUUAAGAGCCAUUAAAAGUCAUGUGGGCCAAUGUGGGGGAUAU
RNAcentral lists this long non-coding RNA (444 nucleotides) under Panax ginseng (ginseng). RNAcentral's name for it is "long non-coding RNA (PGIN_LNC001422)". Lineage: Eukaryota; Viridiplantae; Streptophyta; Magnoliopsida; Apiales; Araliaceae. The record is from RNAcentral.